GACGGAGGGUGCAAGCGUUGUUCGGAUUGACUGGGCGUAAAGGGCGUGUAGGCGGUUUGUCAAGUCGGGUGUGAAAGCCUGGGGCUCAGCCCCAGAAGUGCAUCCGAAACUAGCGAGCUAGAGCGCGAUAGUGGAGGGUGGAAUUCCUGGUGUAGCGGUGAAAUGCGUAGAUAUCAGGAGGAACACCGGCGGCGAGGGCGGCUCGCUGGAUCACAACUGACGCUGAGGGACGAAAGCUAGGGGAGCAAACGGG
This 253-nucleotide ribosomal RNA is filed under the name uncultured bacterium. RNAcentral describes it as "partial 16S ribosomal RNA". It matches the Rfam family "Bacterial small subunit ribosomal RNA", at positions 524 to 776 of the family's 1533-position model. The record is from RNAcentral.